AAGUCGUAACAAGGUUUCCGUAGGUGAACCUGCGGAAGGAUCAUUAACAAAAUCAAAACCACCCACACACCCUGUUGACAGCUGCGCUCCCCCUUUCCGCGCGAGAGGGGGAGGGCGACCUCUUUUCGUUUUUGGUUUUUCGCGAAAUCAAAGGCGAGAGAGUCUAUGAAAACACGAUCAUGAUGACCAAAAGCAACAACGAGUAAAGAGAAACAACUUUUAACAAUGGAUCUCUUGGCUCUU
RNAcentral lists this unclassified non-coding RNA (243 nucleotides) under fungal sp. RNAcentral's name for it is "partial internal transcribed spacer region". The stretch from base 1 to 46 matches the Rfam family "Eukaryotic small subunit ribosomal RNA", at positions 1786 to 1831 of the family's 1831-position model. Lineage: Eukaryota; Fungi. The record is from RNAcentral.